UUAAUACAAGGCCGCAGCGUGAUGUUUAGGAAGAGCAAAAGAAACAUAAAAGGGAGGAGAAAGAGUUCAUGGGCAAGGUGAUCGAGGCAGUGGAUGAACAAAAAGAAAAACUUAUAUAAGGCUUCCUAUGAUAGGAACGAAAAUAGAGCUUUCUUUUUAUGGUCAUUUGGAUGCCAUAGAAUUCUUCUAAGUCUUUCUUUUUCUUCUUAUUUUGAUGGUUUUGGAAUUCAUCCUUGAGACCUAUAAAAUACCUGCAAAGGUACAUCUUGCAUUGCAAACCCAUUAGUCCCAAUGACUAUGUUAUCAAUAAUCACCAAAAUCAUUAUGGCCUAGAUACAACAUGUCACAUUGUUUUCACUCACCCAAAAACAUUAAUAAUAAUCUUGUAUCAUACUAUUAUU
This 401-nucleotide long non-coding RNA is filed under the name Setaria viridis. RNAcentral describes it as "long non-coding RNA (SVIR_LNC001378)". Lineage: Eukaryota; Viridiplantae; Streptophyta; Magnoliopsida; Poales; Poaceae. The record is from RNAcentral.